This 519-nucleotide ribosomal RNA is filed under the name uncultured eukaryote. RNAcentral's name for it is "SSU rRNA". It matches the Rfam family "Eukaryotic small subunit ribosomal RNA", at positions 22 to 548 of the family's 1831-position model. The record is from RNAcentral.
AGUCAUAUGCUUGUCUCAAAGACUAAGCCAUGCAUGUCUAAGUAUAAGUGUUAUACAGCGAAACUGCGAAUGGCUCAUUAAAACAGUUAUAGUUUAUUUGGUAAUCGAAAUUACAUGGAUAACCGUGGUAUCUUCUAGAGCUAAUACAUGCAGGUUAGCCCGACUUCUCGGAAGGGCUGUAUUUAUUAGAUAACAGACCAAUAUUCCUCGUGUCUAUUGUGGUGACUCAUAGUAACUGAUCGGAUCGCAUGGCCUUGUGCCGCGACAAACCAUUCAAGUUUCUGACCCAUCAGCUUUCGAUGGUAGUGUAUUGGACUACCAUGGCUUUCACGGGUAACGGAGGAUUAGGGUUCGAUUCCGGAGAGGGAGCCUGAGAAACGGCUACCACAUCUAAGGAAGGCAGCAGGCGCGUAAAUUACCCAAUCCUGACUCAGGGAGGUAGUGACAAGAAAUAACGGGUCGGGGCAUUCGCCUCGGGAUUGCAAUGAAUCGAAUUUACACCCCUUAAUGAGGAUCAAU